AUGGCUAAGAUCCGGGAGAGGAAGACGAGGGAUAUUGGCCAAGUCAAAUGCAUCAAGGACGGAGCAGGCCAACUCUUGGUGAAGGACGAAGAGAUUAAGCAUAGAUGGCGGGAGUACUUCAACAAGCUGUUCAAUGGGGAGAAUGAGAGUUCUACCAUUAAACUGAAUGACUCCUUUGAUGAGACCAGCAUGCGUUUUGUGCGGCGCAUCCAGGAGUCUGAGGUGAAGGAGGCUUUAAAAAGGAUGAAAGGAGGCAAGGCGAUGGGCCCUGAUUGUAUCCCCAUUGAGAUGUGGAAAGGUCUCGAGGACAUAGCGAUAGUAUGGCUAACCAAGCUUUUCAACCUCAUUUUUCGGGCAAACAAGAUGCCAGAAGAAUGGAGACGGAGUAUAUUAGUACCAAUCUUCAAGAACAAGGGGGAUGUUCAGAGUUAUACUAAUUACCGUGGAAUUAAGCUGAUGAGCCAUACAAUGAAGCUAUGGGAGAGAGUCAUUAAGCACCGCUUAAGAAGAAUGACAAGCGUGACCAAAAAUCAGUUUGGUUUCAUGCCUGGGAGGUCGACCAUGGAAACCAUUUUCUUGGUACGACAACUUAUGGAGAGAUAUAGGGAGCAUAAGAAGGACUUGCAUAUGGUGUUCAUUGACUUGGAGAAGGCCUAUGAUAAGAUACCGCGUAAUGUCAUGUGGUGGGCCUUGGGGAAACACAAAGUCCCAGCAAAGUACAUUACCCUCAUCAAGGACAUGUACAAUAAUGUUGUGACAAGUGUUCGAACAAGUGAUGUCGACACCGAUGACUUCCCGAUUAAGAUAGGACUGCAUCAGGGGUCAGCUUUGAGCCCUUAUCUUUUUGCAUUGGUGAUGGAUGAGGUCACAAGGGGUAUACAAGGAGAUAUCCCAUGGUGUAUGCUCUUUGCGGAUGAUGUGGUGCUAGUUGACGAUAGUCGGACGGGGGUAAAUAGGAAGUUAGAGUUAUGGAGACAAACCUUGGAAUCGAAAGGGUUUAGGCUUAGUAGAACUAAAACCGAGUACAUGAUGUGCGGUUUCAGUACUACUAGCUGUGAGGAGGAGGAGGAGGUUAGCCUUGAUGGCCAGGUGGUACCUCGGAAGGACACCUUUCGGUAUUUGGGGUCAAUGUUGCAGGAGGAUGGGGGUAUUGAUGAAGAUGUGAACCAUCGAAUCAAAACCGGAUGGAUGAAGUGGCGCCAAGCUUCUAGCAUUCUCUAUGACAAGAGAGUGCCACAAAAGCUAAAAGGCAAGUUCUACAGGAUGGCGGUUCGACCCGCAAUGUUGUAUGGCGCGGAGUGUUGGCCGACUAAAAGGCGACAUGUUCAACAGUUAGGUGUGGCGGAGAUGCGUAUGUUGAGAUGGAUGUGUGGCCACACGAGGAAGGAUCGAGUCCGGAAUGAUGAUAUACGAGAUAGAGUUGGGGUAGCACCAAUUGAGGAGAAGCUUGUCCAACAUCGUUUGAGAUGGUUUGGGCAUAUUCAGCGCAGGCCUCCAGAAGCUCCAGUGCAUAGCGGAUGGCUAAAGCGUGCGGAGAAUGUCAAGAGAGGGCGGGGUCGACCGAUUUUGACAUGGGAGGAGUCCGUUAAGAGAGACCUGAAGGAUUGGAGUAUCGACAAAGAGCUAGCUAUGGACAGGGGUGCGUGGAAGCUUGCUAUCCAUGUGCCAGAGCCAUGA
This 1677-nucleotide ribosomal RNA is filed under the name Triticum aestivum (bread wheat). RNAcentral's name for it is "partial small subunit ribosomal RNA". The record is from RNAcentral. Lineage: Eukaryota; Viridiplantae; Streptophyta; Magnoliopsida; Poales; Poaceae.